RNAcentral lists this ribosomal RNA (714 nucleotides) under Lachnospiraceae bacterium. RNAcentral describes it as "bacterial SSU rRNA". It matches the Rfam family "Bacterial small subunit ribosomal RNA", at positions 1 to 723 of the family's 1533-position model. Lineage: Bacteria; Bacillati; Bacillota; Clostridia; Lachnospirales; Lachnospiraceae. The record is from RNAcentral.
UUUAAAUGAGAGUUUGAUCCUGGCUCAGGAUGAACGCUGGCGGCGUGCUUAACACAUGCAAGUCGAACGGAGGUCUUAGGAGUGCUUGCACUCAGAAGACUUUAGUGGCGGACGGGUGAGUAACGCGUGGGGAACCUGCCCCGUACCGGGGGAUAACAGCCGGAAACGGCUGCUAAAACCGCAUAAGCGCACGGCAUCGCAUGAUGCAGUGUGAAAAACUCCGGUGGUACGGGAUGGACCCGCGUCUGAUUAGCCAGUUGGCAGGGUAACGGCCUACCAAAGCGACGAUCAGUAGCCGGCCUGAGAGGGUGGACGGCCACAUUGGGACUGAGACACGGCCCAAACUCCUACGGGAGGCAGCAGUGGGGAAUAUUGCACAAUGGGGGAAACCCUGAUGCAGCGACGCCGCGUGAGUGAAGAAGUUAUUCGUAAUGUAAAGCUCUAUCAGCAGGGAAGAAAAUGACGGUACCUGACUAAGAAGCACCGGCUAAAUACGUGCCAGCAGCCGCGGUAAUACGUAUGGUGCAAGCGUUAUCCGGAUUUACUGGGUGUAAAGGGAGCGUAGACGGCAAUGCAAGUCUGGAGUGAAAGGCGGGGGCCCAACCCCCGGACUGCUCUGGAAACUGUAUGGCUGGAGUGCAGGAGAGGUAAGUGGAAUUCCUAGUGUAGCGGUGAAAUGCGUAGAUAUUAGGAGGAACACCAGUGGCGAAGGCG